This 283-nucleotide non-coding RNA is filed under the name Chloropicon mariensis. Lineage: Eukaryota; Viridiplantae; Chlorophyta; Chloropicophyceae; Chloropicales; Chloropicaceae. The record is from RNAcentral.
AAUAAACACCACGUUUCAUUUUCAGUCUUGUUAGAAGGCGACUUCAACGUGGACACAGAAAGAAAAGAAACACUUACCAGAUGAAGCACGGAUCCUCCCUCGAUGUUGUAAUCUUUCGCUGUCUUUUCGUCGUUCAUUUGCUUUCCUGCAAAGAUAAGCCUGUGAAGGAAGAGAAGAAGAGGGAAGGAAAGGAAAGGACGACGCCAAACCUUUUGUUAGCCACAGCAGCAGAAACUUCCUCCCACCACCACCACCACCAUCAAAAACCAACAAAAAAAAAGAA